AUAAAAUACUUGGGUAUGAAUCUCAGAAAACAUGUACAAGAUCCAUAUGAGAAAAACUACAAAACACUGAUGAAUAAAAUCAAAGAACUAAAUA
Phyllostomus discolor (pale spear-nosed bat) is the source of this 94-nucleotide long non-coding RNA. RefSeq lists it as uncharacterized. The transcript is spliced from 3 exons. Lineage: Eukaryota; Metazoa; Chordata; Mammalia; Chiroptera; Phyllostomidae. The record is from RefSeq and is a predicted model, not a curated record.